AGGGCACCACCAGGAGUGGAGCCUGCGGCUUAAUUUGACUCAACACGGGAAAUCUCACCAGGCCCGGACACCGGAAGGAUUGACAGAUUGAGAGCUCUUUCUUGAUUCGGUGGGUGGUGGUGCAUGGCCGUUCUUAGUUGGUGGAGCGAUUUGUCUGGUUAAUUCCGAUAACGAACGAGACUCUGGCCUACUAACUAGACGUUGGAUCCCUUUGUGGGUCCAUCGCAGCUUCUUAGAGGGACGGGCGGCGUUUAGCCGCACGAGAUUGAGCAAUAACAGGUCUGUGAUGCCCUUAGAUGUUCUGGGCUGCACGCGCGCUACACUGAAGGAAUCAGCGUGUGUUCCCUAUCCGAAAGGAUUGGGAAACCCGUUGAACCUCCUUCGUGAUGGGGAUUGGGGAUUGCAAUUAUUCCCCAUGAACGAAGAAUUCCCAGUAGGCGCGAGUCAUAAGCUUGCGUCGAUUACGUCCCUGCCCUUUGUACACACCGCCCGUCGCUACUACCGAUCGAGUGAUUUAGU
Molecule: ribosomal RNA, 519 nt
Filed under: uncultured eukaryote
Lineage: Eukaryota
Description: SSU rRNA
Rfam family: Eukaryotic small subunit ribosomal RNA
Source: RNAcentral